Molecule: ribosomal RNA, 266 nt
Filed under: Paraburkholderia tropica
Lineage: Bacteria; Pseudomonadati; Pseudomonadota; Betaproteobacteria; Burkholderiales; Burkholderiaceae
Description: partial 16S ribosomal RNA
Source: RNAcentral
GUCCUCUCAGACCAGCUACGGAUCGUCGCCUUGGUGAGCCUUUACCUCACCAACUAGCUAAUCCGCCAUCGGCCGCCCCUAUAGCGCGAGGUCCGAAGAUCCCCCGCUUUCAUCCGUAGAUCGUAUGCGGUAUUAAUCCGGCUUUCGCCGGGCUAUCCCCCACUACAGGACACGUUCCGAUGUAUUACUCACCCGUUCGCCACUCGCCACCAGGUGCAAGCACCCGUGCUGCCGUUCGACUUGCAUGUGUAAGGCAUGCCGCCGCG